RNAcentral lists this unclassified non-coding RNA (353 nucleotides) under soil metagenome. Its description in RNAcentral is "partial contains 5.8S ribosomal RNA, internal transcribed spacer 2, and large subunit ribosomal RNA". The stretch from base 1 to 120 matches the Rfam family "5.8S ribosomal RNA", at positions 35 to 154 of the family's 154-position model. The record is from RNAcentral.
GAUGAAGAACGCAGCGAAAUGCGAUAAGUAAUGUGAAUUGCAGAAUUCAGUGAAUCAUCGAAUCUUUGAACGCACAUUGCGCCCGCCAGUAUUCUGGCGGGCAUGCCUGUUCGAGCGUCAUUACAACUCUCAGGCCCCCGGGCCUGGCGUUGGGGAUCGGCGGAAGCCCCCUGCGGGCACAACGCCGUCCCCCAAAUACAGUGGCGGUCCCGCCGCAGCUUCCAUUGCGUAGUAGCUAACACCUCGCAACUGGAGAGCGGCGCGGCCACGCCGUAAAACACCCAACUUCUGAAUGUUGACCUCGAAUCAGGUAGGAAUACCCGCUGAACUUAAGCAUAUCAAUAAGCGGAGGA